CGAGGACGAACGCUGGCGGCGUGCCUAAUACAUGCAAGUCGAACGGUCUUUUCUAUGGAAGCUUGCUUCCACUGAGAAGAUAGUGGCGAACGGGUGAGUAACACGUGGGUAACCUGCCCAUAAGAGGGGGGAUAACAUCCGGAAACGGGUGCUAAUACCGCAUAGUUUUCUUGAUCGCAUGAUCGGGAAAGGAAAGACGGCCUUUGUGCUGUCGCUUAUGGAUGGACCCGCGGCGUAUUAGUUAGUUGGUGAGGUAACGGCUCACCAAGACGAUGAUACGUAGCCGACCUGAGAGGGUGAUCGGCCACAUUGGGACUGAGACACGGCCCAAACUCCUACGGGAGGCAACAGUAGGGAAUCUUCCGCAAUGGACGAAAGUCUGACGGAGCAACGCCGCGUGAGUGAAAGAAGGUUUUCGGAUCGUAAAACUCUGUUGUCAGAGAAGAACAAGUUGGAGAGUAACUGCUCCAGCCUUGACGGUAUCUGACCAGAAAGCCACGGCUAACUACGUGCCAGCCGCCGC
Molecule: ribosomal RNA, 523 nt
Filed under: uncultured bacterium
Lineage: Bacteria
Description: bacterial SSU rRNA
Rfam family: Bacterial small subunit ribosomal RNA
Source: RNAcentral